Molecule: ribosomal RNA, 278 nt
Filed under: uncultured prokaryote
Description: partial 16S ribosomal RNA
Rfam family: Bacterial small subunit ribosomal RNA
Source: RNAcentral
UACGGAGGAUCCGAGCGUUAUCCGGAUUUAUUGGGUUUAAAGGGUGCGCAGGCGGGGGAUUAAGUCGGCGGUGAAAUUUUGCAGCUCAACUGUAAAAGUGCCUUCGAAACUGGUUUCCUUGAGUGUAGAUGAAGUAGGCGGAAUUUGUGGUGUAGCGGUGAAAUGCUUAGAUAUCACGAGGAACUCCGAUUGCGCAGGCAGCUUACUAAACUACUACUGACGCUCAGGCACGAAGGCGUGGGGAUCAAACAGGAUUAGAUACCCGGGUAGUCCCUGAG